CCUCUCUGUCCUGUUAUAGGACUUAGCAGCCGCUGUAUUCUGUAUCUAAUUUUUAGGUCAAUGAGACACUCCAUAUCCGUGGCUAUAGAAAACCAAUACAGAGGUAUUACAGUAACUUAGUUACCCUCUUAUUUUCUAGGGAUCAGAGCUUAUUUAGAUUCUGCUUUUUGUGACAUUCCACAUAUCUAUAUGUCAUAUGUAUCCUGAUCAUCUAUUCAUUCUACAUAGACAUUUUUCUCUCUUUUUCUUAUACCUAAACUAUCUCCUAUUGUACAUAGUUUCUUUAUUGUGCGACAUUGGAGACUGCCUCUAUCUAUAAAUAUUUUGUCUUUUUGUAACAAUUAAAAGUUAAGUUUUAACUACCAUACC
Pelobates cultripes (western spadefoot toad) is the source of this 369-nucleotide non-coding RNA. NCBI's taxonomy places the organism in Eukaryota, Metazoa, Chordata, Amphibia, Anura, Pelobatidae. The record is from the annotation of a GenBank genome assembly.